AAUCCUUAUUGAGUUAGUGAACCUUAAACAAUAAUCUUAGAAUUAUUAAAAACAUAAGAAAUUAGGAUGGAAGAAAAAAUAAUUAAAAACUAAGAAAAAUUGAAAACGAGAUACCAAAAAUGGAAUAAAAAAUGUCUUGUGCUUUUGCUUGCUCUAGAUAGAAGGUAUUUUCUAUUGAUUGUGAUUAAGAAAGUUCAUUUCAGGUUGUUGAUGCAGCAAGUUUUCAACUUUACGUGGAACAAACCUACUUAUUAUGCCUUGACGUUUCAAGUUGUGAUGUUCGCCUUUCCAUCUAACGUCGAAGAUGAGCUUUGAUAAGUUAUAGUAUUUCAUUCCUUCUUUAAAAUUAUAUAUAUAUUUUUUUUGUUUUUGAUACGUUUCAUAAAUAUAUGUAAUUUCUAUCUUCAAAUAUGAUCUCAUAUAUAAUUUGACAAUUUUAUUCUUAAUGUAAGACUCUUUCUCCAUUAUUAAUACCCUCAAUAUGAGAUAAGUACACGUGCGUCAAUUAACUUCACCAAUUCACAAUGAGUAGUGAUACUAAAUCAGAUUUCGAACGGGAGGAUCAACAGACCAAAUAACAACAGAUUCACCAGACUACAUCUCGUCAAGAAAAGAAACAUAUUCGGCGCCACAUCCGGUGAGUAAUUAAUUUCGUACAUGAAUCAGUCUAAAUGUUUAAUUUUAAUGUUGUUACAUGUUUUAUAAUAUCGUACGUGAACUGAAGCGUGAAAAGAAAAUUAGGGUUUAGAAUUCGAUUUAAAUUAAACCGUGCAUGGUUGAGUUUUUUCCGUGCGCGGUUAUCUUUUAUGUUUCCUUUGAUGUUUAUAUGCACGAAUUGUGUAAUCUAAACACUAAAAUUAUUUUUUUGUACACGAUUUAACUGUGCACGGUGAGUUCUCCGAUGCACGAUUAUGCACGGUUGCACUUUUCUGGUUUAUUUGAUAUUUAUACGCCUGUAUUGAAUAAUUCAGACACUAAAAUCUGUGCACAAUUCGUUCUUCCGUGCACGGUUGACUUAUUACUUUCUUGCACAGAUGUGUUUUUCUGCAUUAUUUGAUAUAUACACAUGUUUUGUAUUACUAGAUAUGAUCCUUUUGGGUUAUUGUGUGCACGAUUAGUUCUUGAUUGCACGGUUCUUGUUUUGUGCACGAUUUGAUUGUUUUACUUUGAUAUUUGAUUAUUCUAAUAAUUUAUUAUUCAUUGCAGCCUCCGCGGUAUACUUGGUUACGUCCAUACAUGUCCCGCAACAAUCGCCAAGUCAUCUUUCGUCCGAAAUAUAACACCCACUGAUAAUAUCCUGCUUUCCAGUACACUAGGUUCUUGCCAACCUAAUGGUAGCGCACUGUCAAAAUACGGAGUGGAAUCGCCCAAUUACGUAGCUCAGGCCACGCUUCGUCAACUCCCCCAUAAGAUUUGACACCAGACUGAUGCUCCAUUGUGAAGUUGUGAUGUCCUGACUAUCUCUCCAAGCGCAAAAUUCAUUUGUCACUGAAUCAAAGAUCUCCCUGCACCGUAUCUUGUCUUCUUCCUCAUCCGAAGACUCGGGUUUUUGUUCCUAUGCCGACGAAUUGUUGUUGCGAUCAUCAAUUUUGGGGAUACUUCUACUUGCAUCCAUCUCGGAAGGCAACACAGCAGACCACUGUAAAUUAUAUAAUCCUGCCUCAUUGUGUUGACCAGCAACUACAAAUUGUUUGCCUUUCUCGAUCACAUACACAACAUGAUAUUUUUUUGUUCGAAAAUUAGACGAUUCAAAUCUGAUUCAACCUUCGACGCUACUUUAAUUUUUCUCUCUUCGUCGGUGGUUGAUAUGUAGAAAAACAUAUAAUUUGUUCGACUAUUCUCGUUUAAUUGCUCAUGAACCUCCC
RNAcentral lists this long non-coding RNA (1865 nucleotides) under Salvia miltiorrhiza (redroot sage). Its description in RNAcentral is "long non-coding RNA (SMIL_LNC008959)". The record is from RNAcentral. Lineage: Eukaryota; Viridiplantae; Streptophyta; Magnoliopsida; Lamiales; Lamiaceae.